GAUGAACGCUAGCUACAGGCUUAACACAUGCGAGUCGAGGGGUAACGAGAGGAAAGCUUGCUUUCCUUGUCGACGACCGGCGCACGGGUGAGUAACGCGAAUCCAACCUGCCCCCAACUAGGGAAUAACCUUGCGAAAGUAAGACUAAUACCCUAUAAUUUCCUCAGAUGUCAUCUGACGAGGAAUAAAGAUUUAUCGGUUGUGGAUGGUGAUGCGUCUGAUUAGCUUGGUGGCGGGGUAACGGCCCACCAAGUCAACGAUCAGUAGGGGUUCUGAGAGGAAGGUCCCCCACAUUGGAACUGAGACACGGUCCAAACUCCUACGGGAGGCAGCAGUGAGGAAUAUUGGUCAAUGGGCGGAAGCCUGAACCAGCCAAGUAGCGUGCAGGAUGACGGCCCUAUGGGUUGUAAACUGCUUUUAUACAGGAAUAAAGUUAGCCACGUGUGGUUAUUCGUAGGUACUGUAUGAAUAAGGACCGGCUAAUUCCGUGCCAGCCGCCGCAGUAA
This 506-nucleotide ribosomal RNA is filed under the name uncultured bacterium. RNAcentral's name for it is "partial 16S ribosomal RNA". It matches the Rfam family "Bacterial small subunit ribosomal RNA", at positions 28 to 523 of the family's 1533-position model. The record is from RNAcentral.